AUACGGAGGAUCCGAGCGUUAUCCGGAUUUAUUGGGUUUAAAGGGUGCGCAGGCGGCCAUUUAAGUCAGCGGUUAAAUCGUGGGGCUCAACCCCAUUCUGCCGUUGAUACUGGGUGGCUUGAUUGCGGUCGAGGUUGGCGGAAUUCGUUGUGUAGCGGUGAAAUGCAUAGAUAUGACGAAGAACACCGAUUGCGUAGGCAGCUGACCAGACCGCAAAUGACGCUCAUGCACGAAAGUGCGGGGAUCGAACAGGAUUAGAUACCCUGGUAGUCCGCACAGUAAACGAUGAAUACUUGUUUUCGGCGAUAUAAUGUCGGAGGCAAAGCGAAAGCGAUAAGUAUUCCCCCUGGGGAGUACGCCGGCACCGGUGAAACUCAAAGGAAUUGGCGGGG
RNAcentral lists this ribosomal RNA (392 nucleotides) under uncultured bacterium. RNAcentral describes it as "partial 16S ribosomal RNA". It matches the Rfam family "Bacterial small subunit ribosomal RNA", at positions 523 to 918 of the family's 1533-position model. The record is from RNAcentral.